GAUGAGUUCUCCCUGACUCCCUGAGAGUCCUGAAGGAACGUUGAAGACGACGACGUUGAUAGGCCGGGUGUGUAAGCGCAGCGAUGCGUUGAGCUAACCGGUACUAAUGAACCGUGAGGCUUAACCUUACAACGCCGAAG
This 140-nucleotide ribosomal RNA is filed under the name Escherichia coli. RNAcentral's name for it is "partial 23S ribosomal RNA". It matches the Rfam family "Bacterial large subunit ribosomal RNA", at positions 2803 to 2925 of the family's 2925-position model. Lineage: Bacteria; Pseudomonadati; Pseudomonadota; Gammaproteobacteria; Enterobacterales; Enterobacteriaceae. The record is from RNAcentral.